UACGUAGGGUGCGAGCGUUGUCCGGAAUUACUGGGCGUAAAGAGCUCGUAGGCGGUUUGUCGCGUCGUCUGUGAAAUUCUGCAGCUUAACUGCAGGCGUGCAGGCGAUACGGGCAGACUUGAGUACUACAGGGGAGACUGGAAUUCCUGGUGUAGCGGUGAAAUGCGCAGAUAUCAGGAGGAACACCGGUGGCGAAGGCGGGUCUCUGGGUAGUAACUGACGCUGAGGAGCGAAAGCGUGGGUAGCGAACAGG
This 253-nucleotide ribosomal RNA is filed under the name uncultured bacterium. RNAcentral describes it as "partial 16S ribosomal RNA". It matches the Rfam family "Bacterial small subunit ribosomal RNA", at positions 524 to 776 of the family's 1533-position model. The record is from RNAcentral.